Long non-coding RNA from Esox lucius (northern pike), 9236 nucleotides. Lineage: Eukaryota; Metazoa; Chordata; Actinopteri; Esociformes; Esocidae. The record is from Ensembl.
GUUUCUAGCAGAAUUCUGAUUCUGAAAAAAAAGAAAGUUGUAAGACUUUGUGUGUAUGUAAACCUGGUGUGGUUUAGCAGGUAAAAACAACAUUUUGCAUUUAGAGCAAUGCAUGAAACUCACUAAGGGGAUACUACAAGUCGGUUUAACAUCUUGAGAUAACUAGGAGUAGAGGUAGAUUCAUCAUUAUAUAGGUAGAUAACUAGGAGUAGAGUUAGAUUCAACAGUAUAUGGGUAUAUAACUAGGAGUAGAGGUAGAUUCAUCAGUAUAUGGGUAUAUAACUAGGAGUAGAGGUAGAUUCAUCAGUAUAUUGGUUGAGUAGAUAACUAGGAGUAGAGGUAGAUUCAUCAUUAUAUAGGUAGAUAACUAGUAAGUAGAGUAGUAGAUAAACAGGAGUAGAGUUAGAUUCAUCAGAAUAUUGGUAGAAAAACUAGGAGUAGAGGUAGAUUCAUCAGUAUUAUGGGAGACAACUAGGAGUAGAGUUAGAUUCAUCAGUAUAUAGGGAGAUAACUACGAGUAGAGUUAGGACAUUCAGUAAACAGGUAGCUGGCUACAAGGAGAGUUAGAUCAAUCAGUCAGAAUACAGGUAGAUGGGUAGGAUUAGAGUUAGAUGUUGGUAGAUUGAGUAAAAAGUCAGGAAUGUCUAAUUUCAGAGUGAGACAGAUAAAUGGGAAAAUUCACACACAUUUCUAGCUAACAACAUAGCAGCUAUUCACAAUAUUAUUUACAAAAUAAUAAUGAAAUCCUACCUUCGGCUUUAUAGUAUUCAAAGCUGCUUUGUAAUGAGCAUCGUUCUUUUCUAUUGUCCCACCAAGCCAGCUUUUCACGUUUUGUACCUCCUGCUGUACUUGGAAACCUCUGCCUUCAAGUUUAACUGCCCAUUGGUCAAUUAGCUUCUUACUGCUGUCUUGGUACAUAGCUUUGUAAUUCUUCAUCGCCUGUGUAUUCACCAGAGUGUUAUUCCGGAGACACAUUAGGUCUGGUGAGGCGGCCAGGACAGACAUCUUUAAAAAGCCCUCCACAUCAUUACUGCUAAUGUAUUGAGCUUGUAGAGUUCUAAAUUCUUUUAAAUUGGUGAGGCAACUCCUGUGUAAUUGAUCAGGCAGUGUGACAGUUAUAAGGUGCUGUCCAUGCUGGUCUUUCAGAUUCUUUAGGGAGUCACUGGUGAACGGUUUAUUGGUUCCUAUCUCUAUCAGUGACUUUGCCAGGUUGCUUUCAGGAUCCAUUUUGUAAGCAAGUAAGAUACUGUCAACUGCUGGCUGGUGGUCAGCAUGGAUAUUUUUACUAACACUGACACCUUUCAGUAGUUUCCGGUUGUUAUUGUAGCUAUCAGCCCGUCCCCAAUAUUCUGGGUUAUUCAUCCCCCCUUUUGCCAUGAACCAGCUGCCUCCCCGUAUCUCCAGUGCCCUCUGUCUGCACUUGAUAAGCGGCACCCACUUGUUCGGCUCCUUCAGGACCAUAUCUGCCCCUUGCUGCCUCAGCUGGGAGGCCCUGGAGUGGAUCUGUUCAUCAGAGGCAUCAGGGUCCAAGCCACGAGCGAACGCCUGGAACAUGCAAUUGUUCCCCUCGCCAGAGACCGGCACAACCUGGUCAUUGUGCAGAGCGUCGUAGUGACCCUGGGGAUAACGCUCACUAAUGGGAUGGUACAGUAGGUUCACACUGCCCUGAUUGGAGCUCUGGCUGGGAUGAACCACAGACAUUUUCAUUUUCUGUCCUUGCCUGUUUGUGAUGUAAAUAACAACAGUCUUCCCGCUUUCUUCAGCUAGUAACUUGGCCUCCAGGAUGGUGGCUGGAUUGUUAUCAUGAGGGAAUGUGCUUCGCGGCCUCAUUUCCUCUGCGUAUGAUUCUGCCCAAAGUUGAUCUUCCACUUUUGAAAGUUUAUUGGAUUUCCUUCUUAGUGGGGCAUUGGCUACGUAGCUGCUGUUCAGGCCUACUACCAGCUUCUCUUUUGUCCUAUCAGUCAUCAGACGUUUGGAAAUGAACCCACCAAUGUAGCCAUUUAUUUGUUCUUGAGCGAGCCCAACCAAGUGGCUGGAGAAUUUCUGGUGAAAAACCUGGAAUACUGUUUCAGCCAGACAAGAAGCCAUCACUUCGGCCACCUCUGUUUUAAAUGCAUUUAAUUUCACCAUGUCAUUGCCACAAAUAUUUUUUCUUUUCUCUUCUAUUUUACUUUCAUCUGUUCCUCUCUUUCCAUAAAGCUCUUUCACUCUUUUCUGCAGCUCCUCCAAGAAUGCACUGUUGAAUUCAUUGGCAACUUCUUUGGCUGAAUAAAUUGCAUCGCCACAGAGACCUACCAUGUGAGCUGCCUGAAUUGCUUUACAAACUGCUCUCAUCUUUCCAUUAUUCUCCUGUGCAACUCUUUUAAUGACACUCUGAAGGGAUGAAUGCAGACGAUUUUGCCAGCCCAGGCCUGCACAGUGAGACCUCAGAACCAUUUCACAGAUAUCUGUAAAAAUCCCUUUUAACUGUGUUCUGUUCUCUCGUUCAUCUAGAAGGUCACUGAGGUAUCCUUGCUCUUCAAUGUGCACAAGCACCAUCCUGUUGACCAAGGGUCCCAUUGGUUGGCAGCCAAUAUUAUGUUUACACUUGUCCAAGACUGUGUUUUUGACAACUUCUUUAAUUUCAUUAGUGAUUUUAUCAAUAAUUUUCUCCUCUACUUUUCCCACUCCAUACAUUACAGUUUGCUGGACAACCUCCUUUCCCACAUAUUUCAAAGUGUUUUUCACAUUUUCUCUCAUGACUGCCUGCAGUCCACCCUUGGCCUGGUUAGAGAUUAGUUUCUGAAGAGAAGUGAGCUUAUUUCCAAAGCCACUAAUGGCAUUUUUGCUGGCUCUCCAGCCCUUGGAGAUCAGUUUUCCCACUCCAAAGCCAAUGAGUGAGACAGCCAGGGACACAGCUUUGCUGAUAGCCCAGGAGGCCCAGCUGAAAGUUCCUGUGAUCAUGGCUUUCACACCAGUGAUGCAGUCUGAAAUCCCUUCACUGAUGAGGUGGUACCCCACUUGUAGCAGCACCCCACCAGUGAAUGCAGUGAGGAGGACCCCCCCCACAAUCUGAGCCACCCCCAGGAAGAAUACAGCUAGGCCUUUCCAGCAGAAUCUGGGCUUCUGCUUCACUGAAAACACCAUCUCCAUACCCAGCUUGUAAAACUCAUACAGCUCUUGGUGAACGUCGUCAUUGGGAUCCUCGACCAGAUUGAAGACAGAGCUUUCAUCAACAAGGGCUUCUCCUUUAUCCUGUUUGAUCAACUCAAGCUUCUCCAUUGCUCUGCUGAUGUUAUUGUGGAAGUAUGUGAGCACUUGUAUCCUGACCUGCAUCUGUUUCUGGAAGGCACUCUUGGUCUUCCCAGAGUCUCUAUCAGACAGGCUCACCAGUUGCUGGGUUAUUGUGCACUGUUCUAAAAACAGUUCCACAGAAACCAAGGCCUUCUCCAAGUCUUUUGAUGCAUUUUCCAUACAGUCUUUUUGUUUUUGCCUCAGAGUGCAGUAAGCACGUUUAUAGAGCGCAAUAGCAGCCCAGCAUCUAUCCAGCUCUAUGGCACUACUGUACAGCUCUGCGCUCUCCUUCAGUUUAUUUUCACCGAGUAAUUUGUUUCCAAACUUGAUGAAAUGGUAGAUGCUAGAACAGGGAGAGAGGUUUUCUUGGGACUGCUGAUGGGCGCGUUUUAUAUCAGUCUCCAGGCUCUUCAUCAGCUGAGAUUUUUCCAACUUUUCAAUCUCAUCUGAUUUUCUCAGCAGCCAAAUCCCCCAGUACUCGUUCAGCACUGCCAAUGUCACCCUGCGCUUGCUGUUGUAGAUGUCUAAGUUGCCUAACGAUGAAUUGGAAAAGGGCUGGUAGAUCCCUUUGAGAAUCUGGCAAUAUUGGGAAAAGAGCUCCUCUCUGAGGGAGAUCUCAGGGAUAUCAUCCUGCAGGACACGGGAUACCUGAUCCAUGGCCAGUGAGUCUCGAGCUGCUCUGGCAUCCUGGAGUGUGGACGCAUUUCUCAGGGGCUCCUGCAGAUGUGCGGAGCAGAUGAUGAGCUGCGCCGAGCCAGGGCUCCCUUUCCUCGCCGUGCGCCCGAAAGCCUGCAUCUCCACUCUGGCAUUUUCAGGCAGGAAGGUGACGACUACAAACAGCCCCCCGGCCCCAUUCACCUCUUUGGAGACCAGCAGGUCUGUUCCACGACCUGCCAAGUUAGUGGCCACGAUCACAUCCCCAGGUCUGAGAAGCUGGCUUGUGAUGCUGGAGUUGUCCUGGUUGCUGUUGGUAUAGAGUCUAAGCUGCUUCCCACUCACCUGCUCUUUGAGAGCCUUGUGGAUGUCCAUUGCUUGGUUGAUAGACUCACAGAUGACCAGUGCUGCCCUUCCAUCUCUGUAGCAGGUUGGGCGAGUCUGCUCCAAGACAGAGGAGCAAAUCCUCUCCCUCCACUUAUCCACAUUGCUCUCCAGCACCCCCUUGACCUCAGACAGCUUUUUCCGGUUGAAGGAUGGAAUCUCACAGGUGGAGAGGCCUGGGUAGAGCUCCUGCAGCAGAUCGAUCUCUGACUGUGUCCCCAAAGUCCCAGUGGUGCCGUACACCUGGCCCCCGUACUGCCUGAAGAAGGCCACGUUGGAGAGGUAGUUGGUAAUGAUGGACAUGCAGCUCAGCUUGGUUUGGUGUUUCAUCUCCAGGAACUGCUGCAGGCCGUUUCCCCACUUCUUGUUGCGCUCAACGAUACCGGUGCAGCUAUAAUCCACCGGGAGAAUUUGUUCCCCAUCUACUAUGUACUCCUGACCCUCCUGCACCUUGACGGCCAGGAAGGCAUUUUGAACCCAAACCCUUAGAUUCUUUUCCACCAGCACUUUUAGGAACCCAGGGACUCGGGUUUUGUGUUUAUCUGCUCCACACUGACAUUUAUCAUUCUUGUCUGGUUUACAUGCGCUAAACUGCAGCCGAUCUUUCACACCCUCCACAAUGGCGUCACAGAGGGUCUCCUCAUCCUCAUACAGAGCACAGCAUAGGCCUUCUUCCAAAACCAAGAAAAAUACCUUGUGAUCAUUUUUUUCUCCCUCACUUUCGCUGUCAUUGUCUGAGUGACGCAGCAGGGUUCCUCGCUGGUCUUGAGUGUAAGUGAUGAACUUAUAAGGGAACUCAUCCUCAGCCAAGCGGAAAAACUGCAGCAUUGUGUCCUGGGACACUGUCUUUAAUUUCUCUGUUAGUUUCUCUGUAGAGUCACAGUCCUUGCAGAAGCCAUUGGGUAUCAACCCACUGUUCUCUGCCAGCUGUAAGACUGUGAGCGGCUCCACACCAUCUUCAGUCUCCACAGAGUCAAACAGGGCUUUGUGAAAAGGCAGGACGGGGCCUCGGAUCAUGGUUCCCGUGCCUGUUGGCACCAGACCGUACUGGCUGACGAUACCCCAGAUCAUGGCCAGGACAAUAUUUAGGUGCUGCAUAGGAGCAACAUCAGUAGAGAGAUAGGUCAUCUGUACUCCCUUGUCUAACAGGAGAGAGUCCACCUCAUCCACAAUGACGCACUGAAAUCCACGGUCAGGCCUCACCUCCUUCAUCUCAAAGCUCUGGCGCAAGCAGUCUGCGGCAAAGUUCUCGGCCGUGCCAUAGACUACAUCACAACUGUAGCACCUCCUACGAUCCUCGUCUUUGUCUUUAUCCGUGUUGCAGUCGACAGAGACAUCAAAUAGGCUGUAGAAUGGACGCCAAUCAUCAGCAUCUCUCUUGGACAAAAUGGGAGAGCUGGAGAGCACAUCCACUCUCUCCCCUCGCAGAGCCCUGAAGGCUGUGAACAUGGCUACGACACAGGACUUCCCCUCACCUGUUCCAAGCUGCAGCAGCCUCCCUGAGACAGAGAGAGCCAGCAGACACCAGCUGACUAUCUGAGUUGUUCUGGGCCACCAGCCCUGUGUCUCAUACACAGCUUUGCAGAGAGCAAACAGGACUGCAGCCAGCUCCUCUCUCUUCAAAGUACAGUUUUUCAGGGAGCCUUUGGAAAAUUUUGGGACAGUCCUAAUCUUGCAAGUCUGCCAAGACGCUACAAUGCCCCUCACCUCUUGGAGUGUGGUCUCUGUGAUGCUUCUAUUUGAUUCACACAUUUCUUGGAGAAUGUCUUCCAGGCUCUUCUCACCCUCUGUGCUCAAGGAGUCUCUGAGCCGAGAAAUUAGGUGAGUGGUGGAGGCUUCAGAGUCUAGCAGCUGAGUCAGUGAGCAUCCAUCUCUGUCCCUGAAGCUGGGACAGACACAGUGGAUUUCCAGGGAAUGAAGCACUGUCAGGACCGAGGUGAAAAGGUUUUCCCCUUUUCUGAACUUUUUCACCAAGAAAAUGAAUAGGUCCAAAGCAUCUGCCGGAGCCCAUCGUCCACUCCUUACCAGGUCUGAUAGUUUGGAUAGAGAUUCUAUGCAGAGUUCCUCACUGCAGUUCUGUACUGCUGUGGCAGUCACCAGCUCAUAGCACUGUUCCUUUGUCUGAGUGUCACAAGUAGACCUGAGGAAAGUUUCCAGGAACCUCAACAUGUACUGCUGAUACGGACAAAUGGCCUGCUUUGAGAAUUGCUGGAAAAUUGACGCCAGGUCCUCUCCAAAUGGUAGCUGGAUGUCUUUGGUGAGGGUUGAGAGUGUGUGGAGGAAUGUGUGCAUUAACUUGAAGCACUGAUCUGCAUUGUUUUUUGAGGUUGGCAUUAGAGAGUGCAGGAGAUCAGUCAGAUUAUGUGCAAGCUCUGAGCUUUGGGACAGCCUGGGGAAACAUAAGUCUCUGUUUGACAGAGGUUGUCCAAGAAUGAGGCAGUCAGGCAGUGGUGCCAAGCCUCUCCCUCUUGGACCAGAUCCAUGUUGGAGGAAGUCAUGUAUAAAACUCUCAAGGCUGCCACAGACAAUAUCAGACUCACAGUGCUGGGUUAAUGGGACAGUAGUGCUUGUUUGCACGUUAAUUCCAAGCAUCUGGUAGAAUGAAGACCAGUCCUGUGGCCUAUAGGAGGGAGAGCCCAGAACUAUACCCACCUGUCUGCCCUGAAAGACCAUCAGGGCUGCAUGCAUUACUGCCACACAGGGGUCUCUUUCCAGUGUGAGGAACUCAUCGUCGCUGUUAUUAAUGGCCAGGUUACACCAUCUGACCAUUUGAGCUACUGUGGGCCCCCUGCCCUGUGUGUGGAGCACUGCUCUGCUCAGGAUGGAAAGUAGUAUCUUCAGCUCUGUUUGCCCAAAUUUGGAGCCUCUCAAAGAGCCCCUGUAAAGGCUUUUGUGAAAUAUAACUGCAUUGUCUUUAUUCAUAUCUUUGUGCACGGUAUUGAUAACACUCCACAGUCGUUCUGGCACCUGGGUAAGGAGGACCUCCAGGCUGUGUGUGCUUUCCUUCUGCAGCUCCUUGUCUAAACCAGAGUAAAAUGUGUUGAAAUCACAUGUUGACUCCAGUAGGGUGUUUAAUGAGUGGCCCUGCUUGUCUCUCCAGGAUGAGGGCAGAUUGUGCCGUUCCACCAGGUCUAGGACACAGAGCGCACCACUGGGGCUCACCCUGCUCCGUGCUAAACUCCCUAUUAAGUCCAGUGCCUCCAGGGAUGUCCAGUUAACAUCCAACAGUGCCAGUACUGCUGGAGACAGAGCAGCAAAGGAAUCGGUUUCUGUAAGUGGCCACUGCCCUAUAGCAUCUAGUAUCAGCUCUAGACACUUCUCCUGGGCACCCAAAACUGGGCCUGUUUCCUUCUCCAGGGCUCUGAGGAGGAGCUCCAGGAACCUGACGAGGAAGAGCUGCUCCAAGGAGAUGUCUUCCUGACUCCAUUCAUUAGCUGCAGAGAAGACGCUCUGCUGGGAAUCAGGCCUGUCCUCAAAGAGAUUAGUGAAAGUCAAGAACAGGGCCUGUGUGAAGUUGAGAUAUUGCCACGCCUCUUCCUCAACUACUGCCACCGUCACUGCAUAUCCCACUGUCUGUACUGCCAGCUGCAGCUGGUCAGCAGCACACUCCAGAGAGGCAUUGCUGUGAGCAUCCAGCGCCAUCACACAAAGCUCUGCGAGCAGGACCUGAGUGUGAGUCAGAGUGUCCAUCUGGGGUGGCUGCUCCUCCCAUUCCUGGAACAGGAGCUCCCGGAGAGAGCAAGAAAGGGACAGGACCUGCUGGGGAUGGAGUCUUCGGAGAUCUAUGUCUCCCUCAGGGAUUCCACACUUUUGAGACAGGAUGCUGAGUAAUCCUCUGUCUGGCUGUCUGCUCUCUGGAGAGCUGCACUGUGACUGGAAUGUCUCUCUGACCACUGUGGUUUCACGCCUCUCCUCCUCUGCUCUCCUCUCCUUUCUCCUCUUUUCCUGCAGCUCAGACUGAGUCUUUUCCAGACUAAACCCCACUUCCCUUAUUCUCCUUUCCUCCUCCUGCUUCUCUCUUUUCUCCUCCUCCAUCUGUCUCUGUCUCUUCUCCUCCAUUAAUCUUUUCUCCUCCUUCUUUCUCCUUCUCCUCAUCUCCUCUUCUUUCCUUUUCCUCUCUUCUUCCCUCAGUCUUCUCUCCUCCUCCUUUCUCCUUCUCUCCUCCUCUAGUCUUGAGUUCCACACUUCCCACCGUCUUCUCGCUUCCUCCUGUCUCCUCCUCUCCUCUUCUUUCCUUUUCCUCUCUUCUUCCCUCAGUCUCCUCUCAUCCUCCAGUCUCCUCCUCUCCUCCUUUUGUCUCCUGUUCCACUCCUCCAACUGCCUUCUCUCCUCUGCAAUUCUCCUCCUCUCCUCCUCUUGUCUCCUGUUCCACACCUCCCACUGCCUUCUCUCCUCUUCCUGUCUCCUGCUCUCCUCCUCUUGUCUCCUGCUCUGCUCCUCCCUCAGUCUUCUCUCCUCCUCUUGUUUCCUCUUCCUCUCAUCCUCCUCUCUCUGUUUCCUCUCUUGUCUCCUUUUCCUUUCCUCCUCCUCCCUCAGUCUUCUCUCCUCCUCCUCUCUCCGUCUCCUCUCUUGUCUCCUUUUCCUCUCCUCCUCCUCCCUCAUUUGCUCUUCUUCUGCAUCCUGCUUUCUCCUGUAACACUGCCUGCAUACGUUUAAUUCCAUAUCUUUAAGCCUAGCUACCAGGUUCCAAUGAAAAGCCAAACCAAAAACAAGUUUGAUAAGAAAAGCCAGAAAGUCCAUCUCUAUUAUUCCCCCACACUCUCUGCACAGUACAGCUCCCAUACUGGCUUGGGUCCUCUGUGACUGAAGAGAUGAUCGGAAACCUGGAAGACAAAAAAAACUGUUUAUUAACAUAUACAGUGGCUCUCAAACAUAUUCGCCCCCCUUGAAAUGUUCUACGUUUUAUUGUGUUACAACAUGCAAUU